UCUAUCCUACGGGACGCAGCAGUGGGGAAUAUUGGACAAUGGGGGGAACCCUGAUCCAGCGACGCCGCGUGAGUGAAGAAGUAUUUCGGUAUGUAAAGCUCUAUCAGCAGGGAAGAAAGAAAUGACGGUACCUGACUAAGAAGCCCCGGCUAACUACGUGCCAGCAGCCGCGGUAAUACGUAGGGGGCAAGCGUUAUCCGGAUUUACUGGGUGUAAAGGGAGCGUAGACG
RNAcentral lists this ribosomal RNA (230 nucleotides) under uncultured bacterium. Its description in RNAcentral is "partial 16S ribosomal RNA". It matches the Rfam family "Bacterial small subunit ribosomal RNA", at positions 333 to 577 of the family's 1533-position model. The record is from RNAcentral.